UACGUAGGGUGCAAGCGUUGUCCGGAAUUAUUGGGCGUAAAGAGCUCGUAGGCGGUCAGUCGCGUCUGCUGUGAAAACUCGGGGCUUAACUCCGGGCCUGCAGUGGGUACGGGCUGACUAGAGUGCGGUAGGGGAGACUGGAAUUCCUGGUGUAGCGGUGAAAUGCGCAGAUAUCAGGAGGAACACCGGUGGCGAAGGCGCUCUACUGGGCCAUAACUGACACUGAUGGACGAAAGCUAGGGGAGCGAAAGGG
This 253-nucleotide ribosomal RNA is filed under the name uncultured bacterium. RNAcentral's name for it is "partial 16S ribosomal RNA". It matches the Rfam family "Bacterial small subunit ribosomal RNA", at positions 524 to 776 of the family's 1533-position model. The record is from RNAcentral.